UCCCAAGUCUCACAUCCAAGAAUACUGGAGGAUCUUUGACUUCUUAUCACACCACCCUGAGAGCUUGAGCACUUUCGCUUGGUUCUUUGAUGAUGUUGGGAUUCCUCAAGAUUACAGACACAUGGAAGGCUUUGGUGUUCACACUUUUACUUUCAUCAACAAGGCUGGAAAAGUAACCUAUGUGAAAUUUCACUGGAAACCCACUUUGGGAGUCAAGUGUUUGAUGGAUGAUGAGGCACAGAAGAUUGGAGGUGUCAACCACAGCCAUGCUACGCAAGAUCUGUAUGAUUCCAUUGCUGCUGGCAACUAUCCUGAGUGGAAACUAUUUAUUCAGACAAUGGAUCCAGCUGAUGAAGACAAAUUUGACUUUGAUCCACUUGAUAUGACUAAGAUCUGGCCUGAGGAUAUGUUUCCUCUGCAGCAACUUGGGCGUCUGGUGUUGAACAGGAACAUCGAUAACUGGUUUGCUGAGAAUGAGAUGCUUGCGUUCGAUCCUGGUCAUGU
RNAcentral lists this long non-coding RNA (504 nucleotides) under Manihot esculenta (cassava). RNAcentral's name for it is "long non-coding RNA (MESC_LNC002902)". The record is from RNAcentral. Lineage: Eukaryota; Viridiplantae; Streptophyta; Magnoliopsida; Malpighiales; Euphorbiaceae.